CCGCGGCAGCCAAGAGUGGAGAGCGGGAGAGGGAUGUCCCCAUCUCUUUCUCUCAGCUGUUAGAAUCUGCCUUCGCUGAAGUGCGCUCACUGACACUGGAAGCCCUCUUGGAAAAGUUCUUAGCAGCAGCCUCUGGACUUGGAGAGAAGGGCCUGCCACCCUUGCUGUGCAACAUGAGAGAGAAGUUCUUAUUGUUGGCCAUGAAGGAAAAUCACCCAGAAUGCUUCUGCAAGAUACUGAAAAUUCUCCACUGCAUGGACCCUGGUGAGUGGCUUCCCCAGACGGAGCACUGUGUACAUCUGACCCCAAAGGAGUUCUUGAACUGGACGAUGGAUAUUGCUUCCAAUGAAAGGUUUGCCCCCAAUACCUCCUGUGCAACCUUGGUAAGAUGUAUGGUCCCAUCAGUCAUUAUGUAAUGAACUUGCACACAAUCCUGCCCUCAGGUCUCAGGUCCUGUGUUUCAUUCUAAGACUCAGCCUAAGAGUUCUAAACUCAAGCAAUAGAAUGAUGUCAGUGAUUUGCAUUAAUAACCAAAAGGUAAUUGCUUCCGGAGGCAUUUUUGUAACCAGGAGGUAGAGAUUUUCAGUGUUCACCUCUGCAUGGAUUAUAGACUAUCUGCAAAAACCAGUGUAUGAAAUAUGUCUGAUUGUAAUUUUGUGGGUUUUUUUGUUUGUUUAUUUUUCUAGAUCUGAAAUUCAGAGUGUAGCUCUGAGACUUGCUUCCAAAGUCAUUUCCCACCACAUGCAGACAUGUGUGGAGAACAGGGAAUUGAUAGCUGCUGAGCUGAAGCAGUGGGUUCAGCUGGUCAUCUUGUCAUGUGAAGACCAUCUUCCUAC
This 836-nucleotide small RNA is filed under the name Pongo abelii (Sumatran orangutan). Its description in RNAcentral is "retained intron". Lineage: Eukaryota; Metazoa; Chordata; Mammalia; Primates; Hominidae. The record is from RNAcentral.